This 90-nucleotide non-coding RNA is filed under the name Pseudomonas sp. bs2935. Lineage: Bacteria; Pseudomonadati; Pseudomonadota; Gammaproteobacteria; Pseudomonadales; Pseudomonadaceae. The record is from RNAcentral.
GUAGGAGCCGGGCUUGCCCGCGAUGGCGCAGUAUCAGGCAGUACGUCUAAAACCUGAUUCACUGCUAUCGCGGGCAAGCCCGGCUCCCAC